AACGAACGCUGGCGGCAGGCUUAACACAUGCAAGUCGAACGAACGUAUGGGGCUUGCUUCAUACGUUAGUGGCAGACGGGUGAGAAACGCGUGGGAACGUACCCUAAAGUUCGGAAUAACUAUUGGAAACGAUAGCUAAUACCGGAUGUGACCGAGAGGUUAAAGGUUUACCGCUUUGGGAGCGGCCCGCGUUAGAUUAGCUAGUUGGUGGGGUAAAGGCCUACCAAGGCGAUGAUCUAUAGCUGGUCUGAGAGGAUGACCAGCCACACUGGGACUGAGACACGGCCCAGACUCCUACGGGAGGCAGCAGUGGGGAAUAUUGGACAAUGGGGGCAACCCUGAUCCAGCAAUGCCGCGUGAAUGAUGAAGGCCUUAGGGUUGUAAAGUUCUUUUAUUGAUGACGAUAAUGACGGUAAUCAAUGAAUAAGCACCGGCUAACUUCGUG
This 445-nucleotide ribosomal RNA is filed under the name uncultured bacterium. Its description in RNAcentral is "bacterial SSU rRNA". It matches the Rfam family "Bacterial small subunit ribosomal RNA", at positions 29 to 507 of the family's 1533-position model. The record is from RNAcentral.